CAGCGCCACGAGUGGUAACCACGUUUAUUGGGCCUAAAGCGUCCGUAGCCGGUUUGAUAAAUCUUUUGUGAAAUUGUACAGCUUAACUGUACAGCGUGCAAGAGACACUGUCAAACCUGAGACCGGGAGGAGUCAGAAGUAUUCCAGAGGGAGCGGUAAAAUGUUAUAAUCUCUGGAGGACUACCUGUGGCGAAGGCGUCUGACCAGAACGGAUCUGACGGUGAGGGACGAAAGCUAGGGGAGCGAACCGGAUUAGAUACCCGAGUAGUCC
RNAcentral lists this ribosomal RNA (271 nucleotides) under uncultured archaeon. RNAcentral describes it as "partial 16S ribosomal RNA". It matches the Rfam family "Archaeal small subunit ribosomal RNA", at positions 477 to 747 of the family's 1478-position model. The record is from RNAcentral.